GUGGGGAAUAUUGCACAAUGGGGGAAACCCUGAUGCAGCGACGCCGCGUGGAGGAAGAAGGUCUUCGGAUUGUAAACUCCUGUUGUUGAGGAAGAUAAUGACGGUACUCAACAAGGAAGUGACGGCUAACUACGUGCCAGCAGCCGCGGUAAAACGUAGGUCACAAGCGUUGUCCGGAAUUACUGGGUGUAAAGGGAGCGCAGGCGGGAAGACAAGUUGGAAGUGAAAUCCAUGGGCUCAACCCAUGAACUGCUUUCAAAACUGUUUUUCUUGAGUAGUGCAGAGGUAGGCGGAAUUCCCGGUGUAGCGGUGGAAUGCGUAGAUAUCGGGAGGAACACCAGUGGCGAAGGCGGCCUACUGGGCACCAACUGACGCUGAGGCUCGAAAGUGUGGGUAGCAAACAGGAUUAGAAACCCGAGUAGUCC
This 425-nucleotide ribosomal RNA is filed under the name uncultured bacterium. RNAcentral's name for it is "partial 16S ribosomal RNA". It matches the Rfam family "Bacterial small subunit ribosomal RNA", at positions 354 to 796 of the family's 1533-position model. The record is from RNAcentral.